GAUGAACGCUGGCGGCGUGCCUAAUACAUGCAAGUCGAGCGAACGGACGAGAAGCUUGCUUUUCUGAUGUUAGCGGCGGACGGGUGAGUAACACGUGGAUAACCUACCUAUAAGACUGGGAUAACUUCGGGAAACCGGAGCUAAUACCGGAUAAUAUUUUGAACCGCAUGGUUCAAAAGUGAAAGACGGUCUUGCUGUCACUUAUAGAUGGAUCCGCGCUGCAUUAGCUAGUUGGUAAGGUAACGGCUUACCAAGGCAACGAUGCAUAGCCGACCUGAGAGGGUGAUCGGCCACACUGGAACUGAGACACGGUCCAGACUCCUACGGGAGGCAGCAGUAGGGAAUCUUCCGCAAUGGUCGAAAGCCUGACGGAGCAACGCCGCGUGAGUGAUGAAGGUCUUCGGAUCGUAAAACUCUGUUAUUAGGGAAGAACAUAUGUGUAAGUAACUGUGCACAUCUUGACGGUACCUAAUCAGAAAGCCACGGCUAACUACGU
RNAcentral lists this ribosomal RNA (496 nucleotides) under uncultured bacterium. RNAcentral's name for it is "partial 16S ribosomal RNA". It matches the Rfam family "Bacterial small subunit ribosomal RNA", at positions 28 to 506 of the family's 1533-position model. The record is from RNAcentral.